This 72-nucleotide transfer RNA is filed under the name Ornithorhynchus anatinus (platypus). It matches the Rfam family "tRNA". From Rfam's summary of the family: Transfer RNA (tRNA) molecules are approximately 80 nucleotides in length. Their secondary structure includes four short double-helical elements and three loops (D, anti-codon, and T loops). Lineage: Eukaryota; Metazoa; Chordata; Mammalia; Monotremata; Ornithorhynchidae. The record is from Rfam by way of RNAcentral.
AGCAGCGUGGCUCAGUGGAAAGAGCCCGGGCUUGGGAGUCAGAGGCCAUGGGUUCGAAUCCCGGCUCUGCCA